Mastomys coucha (southern multimammate mouse) is the source of this 687-nucleotide long non-coding RNA. RefSeq lists it as uncharacterized. The record is from RefSeq and is a predicted model, not a curated record. The transcript has 3 exons. NCBI's taxonomy places the organism in Eukaryota, Metazoa, Chordata, Mammalia, Rodentia, Muridae.
GGUUUCACUUCCGGUUUGGCUCCUUCGAUCGAUCGGCAGCGAGUCUUGCUCCGCAGGCAUAGACCGAUUCUCUGGGUCUAUGGAUGGUCGAUUCUCUGGGUCUAUGGAUGGUCUCGGCAGCGAGACAUGGGCUACAAGAGCAUAGAGGAUUGGAUCAAUUCAUCAAUGAAGAAACACCUGUCAGAAGUUUGAGGGAUUUUGUGGGUGCAAUACUUAAAGUUGUGUUGGAGGAUCCAACAGAGGAGUUUGUAUCCUCAGAAGAGCAAAAGAGAGGAUUUCUUCCUAAGGAAACCAACCUGUGUUCUGAGUAACAUGUCCCUGAACAAGCAUUCUGGGAGUCUGAGCUGUUUGAGGUGGAAGAAGCAAGUCCAGGGGGCAAUAGUAGCCUUCCAGUUCUUCCGAGCCCUUUCCUUGUGCACACGAGUGAGCUGGCUACAUACAGCACCACCAAAAGCACCUGCUCACCUCUCUGCCUCAUCCAUCAUCCAAAUCUCAGGUUCUAGCCCAGGGGAGCCUGUUGCAUCACUGAACCCUUGAAGACAAGUCCUGAGUCCAUGAAGUGACAGAGCGAAUUGUACAAGGCUUCUUGUCUGUCAUCAUCUUCAGAUACGUUCUCUCUUUAAUCAGAAAAGGCAGCAUCCCUGCCCCGUGAGUGCUUUCCAGCAGGAAAAUAAAAGAUGGACUCAC